UCUCUAAUUCAUUAUACUACUGCUAAAAUAUCCUAGUUCCCACACCUUUGAUGAUACCCAACAGUCAAAUUAUAGUAAACCCACUUACCAAAAUCAACUACUAAGUAUAAAAAAAAAAAAGCGAAAAGAGAUAAAAGAGAAACAAGUUCGAUUAUCGGAAAAUCACCUGAAAAAGCAAUGAUCUGGAAAUGUUGGAAAGGCCAUAGCUGCCGUUGGCACCCAGUAUGAUGUGGACAACAUUGCUCUGGGGGAAACGCCAAAAAAAUAAAGCUAAAAGAAACAGUAUACACCUACAGCAAGAGAAAAGAAAAGAAAAAAAAAGGUAAAAAAUGGAAGAAGAUCAAGCGUCUUCUCUAAAGGGAGAUGAAGCAGCAGUGAAUUUAGAAGAAGAAGAAGAGGGUUUCAAGAUCUUGGGUUCUACAUAACUACUUCCAAUUGUAAAACACAACAUAUACGGCCUUGAAGACGAAUUAAAGCAAGCAUAAUCAGAUGAACCAAAUGAACAACACUGAUUUAAGGAAAAGAAACCAGAAUUCCCAAAAUCCAU
RNAcentral lists this long non-coding RNA (547 nucleotides) under Gossypium barbadense (sea-island cotton). RNAcentral describes it as "long non-coding RNA (GBAR_LNC022006)". Lineage: Eukaryota; Viridiplantae; Streptophyta; Magnoliopsida; Malvales; Malvaceae. The record is from RNAcentral.